Pelodiscus sinensis (Chinese soft-shelled turtle) is the source of this 82-nucleotide transfer RNA. It matches the Rfam family "tRNA". From Rfam's summary of the family: Transfer RNA (tRNA) molecules are approximately 80 nucleotides in length. The record is from Rfam. Lineage: Eukaryota; Metazoa; Chordata; Testudines; Trionychidae.
GCUGUGAUGGCCUAGUGGAUAAGGUGUUAGACUUGUAAUCCAAUAGUCUUUCCCUGCACAGGUUCAAAUCCUGAUCACAGUG